AGGAAUAGGGGGACUUUUGCUAA
This 23-nucleotide non-coding RNA is filed under the name Cricetulus griseus (Chinese hamster). Lineage: Eukaryota; Metazoa; Chordata; Mammalia; Rodentia; Cricetidae. The record is from RNAcentral.